UACAGAGGGGGCAAGCGUUGUUCGGAAUUACUGGGCGUAAAGGGCGCGUAGGCGGCCUUCUAAGUCGAACGUGAAAUCCCCAGGCUCAACCUGGGAACUGCGUCUGAUACUGGAUGGCUUGAAUUCGGGAGAGGGAUGCAGAAUUCCAGGUGUAGCGGUGAAAUGCGUAGAUGUCUGGAGGAAUACCGGUGGCGAAGGCGGCAUCCUGGACCGACAUUGACGCUGAGGAGCGAAAGCUAGGGGAGCAAACGGG
RNAcentral lists this ribosomal RNA (253 nucleotides) under uncultured bacterium. RNAcentral's name for it is "partial 16S ribosomal RNA". It matches the Rfam family "Bacterial small subunit ribosomal RNA", at positions 524 to 776 of the family's 1533-position model. The record is from RNAcentral.